GGGGGAAGUUUUCCGCAAUGGGCGAAAGCCUGACGGAGCAAUGCCGCGUGGAGGUGGAAGGCCUACGGGUCGUCAACUUCUUUUCUCGGAGAAGAAACAAUGACGGUAUCUGAGGAAUAAGCAUCGGCUAACUCUGUGCCAG
This 142-nucleotide ribosomal RNA is filed under the name uncultured bacterium. RNAcentral's name for it is "partial 16S rRNA". It matches the Rfam family "Bacterial small subunit ribosomal RNA", at positions 354 to 511 of the family's 1533-position model. The record is from RNAcentral.